AAAAAGAGGAAUCACAACAAAAAGUAAUGGUGCAAGGUGCAGCCGUGAUUCCUGCUCAGUGCGCUUAAACCGGCUCGAAAAAAAUACUCGUGCGGGACAGAACGCACAAAUAACAAAUAUGAUUUUGGUUUAACAAGGGUCGCACGGAAAAAAACACGCGAUUCCGACAGUCACACGAGUACGGAUCCGAUUAAAAUCCAAGCGUACAAGCAGGAACACGACGUCUGUUUACACAAGCUCUGAUGAUUCCGGACCACACAAAAUCGUACCGGAUUGCACCGGGAUACUCACGGCACUAAUUAGAACAUACACGUAAAGCCAUGGACUUCUCCACCAGAUAUGAAUCUAGAAGGCAUCAGUACCAGCAAGCAAUGAUCGGUGAACGGAAAGCGAUACGCUUUUAACCAGCCUAGCAAACACGAAAGGAAAACGCCUUCCAAGAGAAUGCUCCUUUUCCGACACUUAAUGUGUCCUACUUCAAGCAUCGGGACUCAGCUACCGGCUCAGCAGAAGUUCCAUCAAGGCUUCAGGUAGAUCAGUUGGUGGAAGGAAUCUGGUUACCGCAGCUGCGCACAGACGCAGGUGAGCAGCCAGAGUACAAGCGGUUAAUAGGAGACCGUGACGCAGUAGGUCAAGGGGAUUUUGCCAGCAUUAACGAAGGCACGCCGGACGGAACUGAGGGUGGCGAGACACACGAUUUAUGUCGUGAGAUGCCGCAGCAGUAUGGCGGGGCCGUGAGUACUAGCUUUUAAGAGGUGAAUAGAAUCAAUAGGGCGGACGGGCAAAGCAGCAGGAAUAGGUGGAUAGAAGAAGUCAGAGGAAAUAGAGGAAUGUAUGAAGAGAGAUGAAUUAAGGGGUAUGAUAUUCAAAAUUACACGUGUAGGUUUUGGUUUUAUAAGCAGUCGGCCCAGGUGAGGCUAGUUGUCACCGAGGCUGUAGAAAGAUAAUGUAACAAAAUGAUAACUUAAGUUGAACAUCUUCGACACACAUAUUAUGCUAAGAUCAAGUUAAGCGUGUAUGGAUCCACCACAAUGGCCGCUUGCCAGUUGAAAGUCUAACUUUCUGCGAUAACUAUCCAUGCAGUGGGGCACUGCAUGAAACGGUUUACAUGCGUCAUCCAUCUGGCUCCAAUGUACUCGAUAAGGAUGUUGUAUGCCAUUUACAAAAGAGCUUACACGAGGUUUAGCAAACAGCAUGUGUGUGGAACCUAACAAUCGAUUCUGUUCUUAAGAAGAUGGGUUUGCAGCAGUCUCAGAAUGAUUCCUAUCCGUACAUUCGACGAAAUGGCGAAAAUGCAAAAAUAAAAGAAUAGCAAAAAGCGGACAUCACGUACAAUUACAGGGUAAUUUUUCUCAAACGUUCGGAACCUGUGACUACAUAAUUCGGAAAAAUGAAUUGACACCGUUGUUGGUUGCAU
Molecule: long non-coding RNA, 1417 nt
Organism: Topomyia yanbarensis
Lineage: Eukaryota; Metazoa; Arthropoda; Insecta; Diptera; Culicidae
Exons: 3
Source: RefSeq, a predicted model, not a curated record